AUGAGCGAGCACGUGGGAACAGGGGAGAGCGCGAGUGCGCGUGUGCACGUGCAGCAGCAAAACAUGCGCAACAAAAACUUCAGAGAUCGCCGGAGCACUGCGAGCGCGGCGAAGACAUGGAUCGUGCGAGUGCUACGGGGUUCGACAUGCCAUGGAAAGAAAGUGAGCAGGAGGUGCAUUACCCAGCUCACCCUAGGACACGAAGAGGUUGAUGGAUACGCGCCGGAGGCGACCGGAGCGAGCUCUGAACUUGGUGAAGAUGUUGUCCGGGAAGAAGAGGAAGAAGACAGCAUCGUGGAGGUCGAACCCGAGGCCGUGUGGUCGCGUGCGUGGAUGUAG
This 339-nucleotide ribosomal RNA is filed under the name Triticum aestivum (bread wheat). RNAcentral describes it as "partial small subunit ribosomal RNA". The record is from RNAcentral. Lineage: Eukaryota; Viridiplantae; Streptophyta; Magnoliopsida; Poales; Poaceae.